CCGCAGGCGCCCAACUGACUCCCAACCUCUUGCACAAAAAGAUAACACUUCGGGAUGCUAAAGUGGAUUCCUUUUCCCAGGAAAACUAAUGAGGCAAUCAACUGCAUGACUUUCUGCUAGGAAGAUUGAACUGGAAUUGGAGCACCCAGGUUCACUGUCACAUACAGGAUUGAAGCCUUCACAUCUGACACUCAACUUUGCAGGACACAAGGGACCAAAAGAGGGUUUGGUCUGGGGAAGACAUACAUGACAGUAGGUAUUCAAGGAAAGGAUGGCGGCUGCUCUCCAAACAUCUUUCCAGGGUACAGAGCAGGGGCUGGGUGGAGGUGGAGCUGGAGGUCAAAUCUUUCGAUGAAAUCCUCCAGCCCCGCUUUGCCCUCCACCCUCCCACCAUCACCCAUGAUAAGCGUGGAGCAUUGUUCAGGACAGAAAAGAAGAAACUCCUUCACGUCAGGCUAUAUGCAUGUGGUAUUCAUGCAUAAGGCAAAUAUCUAUCACUGUAAUGGCAAAGAUGACGGAGGUAAUUUCAAUCUGGAUUUUGUUGGUUGAAAAAAUAAAUAAAGUCCUAUCUUUCCAAUCUUUUUAUAUCAACCAAAGAUACACUGUUCAGUCCCUUCUCCCAGGUAAAUUUUACAUGAAAAAAGAAAUUACUUUGGUCAUUGCAGCAAUAUCAAAUCCUAAAGAAUUGAGAAAGCAUGUCAUGGUCUGAGAUAUAUUGGGUGCUUAUUCUUUGCCAGACAUUGUGCUAAGCACUUUACAUGCAUUUUUGCACUUAAUUCUCAGAAUAAGCAUAUGAGAAAGUUACUAGUGUAUUUUUUAAAUCUCCAUCUCACAUAUAAGGAAAUUGAGAGGAACUCAGUAAUUUGGCUGAGAUCACACUGUUGGUAAAUGAUGAUGCUGGAACUCAAUUUUUCUUUUGCAAUUUGGCAGCCAGGCAAAAGUGAUCAGAAACAGGUGUCUUUUAUCUAAAGUUCUAUGAAAGAGGAGCAGUUUUACUUUAUUUCAAAGAAACAAAUGACAUAAAUCAAUUUGCACCUGCCCUUGAUUUUGUGCAAAUUUAUUUAUAAUGAAUUGCGAAGGAAGGGGAGGCAGCCCUAAAUUCAGAGAAUUUGAAAUAAUCUUAAAUCAGAUAUGUAACAUGCAAUCCCAUUUGUCCAGAAAAGAGGCCAAAGGCAGAACAGUAAAUAUUUUCCACAGCAAAAUGAUCACAAGGGUGCACAGAGUUUUCCGAUCUCGAGGAUUCUUCCCAUUUAAAUGGAAACUGCAAAUCACCAGGUUAUCAUGUGGUAUAAGUCUUGAGUCUAUCAAUCUCUUUCACUCUUCAUUUGCCUUAGAUUGAUUUGACUUUGUGAUAAUGCAUCGCUCUGAUCACACUGUGCCAUUGUUGAUAUGGAGUCUCCAGAGAAAACUACAAACAGAUAAAGAAGGCUGGCAGCUCAAUCUUAAUAGAGUCUUAGGAUGAAGAAUAGUAAUACUUGGGACAUCACAAACAUAAUAGUGGUGCCCAAGAGAACUUUCAAGAUAUAAGCCCGCAAAAAAAUAUAUGUAGAAGUGAAUGGUAAGGCAGAAACUCAAAACGAAUUAUUAUAACCACUUCAAUUCAUCGCAAAGUUUUGCUCCUAAGGACAUAAUAUUCAGAUGCCUACUGAGCAUUUAAAUAUGCAGCUAAAUAUGCACCACAGUGGUUAAUCAAGUUGAAAUACAGGGUUGGGGUUUGUAUACGUGAGAAGCUGAAGUCCAGAACAGUUGAAUUACUUGAGGUCUCACUGAAAAUUGGCGGUGGUAGGGCUUAUUCCAAUGUCUGCUCACCAUACCUCAUUCCUAUUCCAGUCUAUUCUAGACCAAGGGUCAGCAAGCUUUUCCUUUAAAAGUCAGAUAGCAAAUAAUUUAAGCUUUCAGUUCAUUUUGUCUCUGUAUCAAUUACCGGGGUCUGCCAUUGUAUCAUGGAGCCAGCCAUAGAUGAUAAUAAUGAAUGGGUAUGUGUUCCAAUAAAACUUUAUUUAUAAAACAGACAGCUGGCUGGAUUUUGCUGGCAGAUAGCAGUUUGCAACCCCUGCCCUAGACUGUAAAUUUCAGCUCUGCCAUUCAUUAAUUAUAGGUUUUAAUUUAGUUAGUAGUCUCUUUCAACCUCAGUUUUAUCCCCCAAUGAAGUAUACUAUUUUCCCAAUAGUGGAAGUAAUUUUUCUCAGGUAAAUUGUUGAAAACGGCUUUCAAUAGAAUAUAGUUUGGGGAAUAUCAGUCUUUAGAUUUAUAAAAUCUUAUACAAAUAUUU
This 2272-nucleotide long non-coding RNA is filed under the name Macaca mulatta (Rhesus monkey). Its description in RNAcentral is "lncRNA (ENSMMUG00000065219.1)". The record is from RNAcentral. Lineage: Eukaryota; Metazoa; Chordata; Mammalia; Primates; Cercopithecidae.